CACAUGCAAGUCGAGCGGUAACAUAUCUAGCUUGCUAGAUGAUGACGAGCGGCGGACGGGUGAGUACAACUUGGGAAUCUGCCUGAUGGAGGGGGACAACCACUGGAAACGGUGGCUAAUACCGCAUAAUCUCUUUGGAGCAAAGUGGGGGACCUUCGGGCCUCACGCCAUCAGAUGAGCCCAAGCAAGAUUAGCUAGUUGGUAGGGUAAAGGCCUACCAAGGCAACGAUCUUUAGCUGGUCUGAGAGGAUGAUCAGCCACACUGGGACUGAGACACGGCCCAGACUCCUACGGGAGGCAGCAGUGGGGAAUAUUGGACAAUGGGCGCAAGCCUGAUCCAGCCAUGCCGCGUGUGUGAAGAAGGCCUUCGGGUUGUAAAGCACUUUCAGUGGUGAGGAAGGGGAGUAAGUUAAUAGCUUAUUUCAUUGACGUUAGCCACAGAAGAAGCACCGGCUAACUCCGUGCCAGCAGCCGCGGUAAUACGGAGGGUGCGAGCGUUAAUCGGAAUUACUGGGCGUAAAGCGCACGUAGGCGGCUUGUUAAGCAAGAUGUGAAAGCCCAGGGCUCAACCUUGGAAUAGCAUUUUGAACUGGCAGGCUAGAGUUUUGAAGAGGGUGGUAGAAUUUCCAGUGUAGCGGUGAAAUGCGUAGAUAUUGGAAGGAAUACCAGUGGCGAAGGCGGCCACCUGGUCAAAAACUGA
RNAcentral lists this ribosomal RNA (700 nucleotides) under gamma proteobacterium M12-CH. Its description in RNAcentral is "bacterial SSU rRNA". It matches the Rfam family "Bacterial small subunit ribosomal RNA", at positions 52 to 743 of the family's 1533-position model. The record is from RNAcentral. Lineage: Bacteria; Pseudomonadati; Pseudomonadota; Gammaproteobacteria.